This 1411-nucleotide ribosomal RNA is filed under the name Corynebacterium sp. HMSC064E10. RNAcentral describes it as "bacterial LSU rRNA". It matches the Rfam family "Bacterial large subunit ribosomal RNA", at positions 1529 to 2925 of the family's 2925-position model. Lineage: Bacteria; Bacillati; Actinomycetota; Actinomycetes; Mycobacteriales; Corynebacteriaceae. The record is from RNAcentral.
GUUCUAGGUAAAUCCGGAGCACAUUGGGUGAGGCGUGAUGCGUACCCGUAUUUGGGGAAGUUGGUGAUCCUAUGCUGCCGAGAAAAGCCUCUAGCGAUGUGGAUAUACGGCCCGUACCCGAAACCGACACAGGUAGUCAGGUAGAGAAUACUAAGGCGAUCGGGAUAACUGUGGUUAAGGAACUCGGCAAAAUGCCCCCGUAACUUCGGGAGAAGGGGGGCCAUGACUGGUGACCGACGUGGUUGAGCUGGUUGUGGCCGCAGAGAAUAGAGGGAAGCGACUGUUUACUAAAAACACAGGUCCGUGCGAAGACGUUUAAGUCGAUGUAUACGGACUGACGCCUGCCCGGUGCUGGAAGGUUAAGAGGACCUGUUAGAUUCCUUGUGGGGUCGAAGCGGAGAAUUUAAGCCCCAGUAAACGGCGGUGGUAACUAUAACCAUCCUAAGGUAGCGAAAUUCCUUGUCGGGUAAGUUCCGACCUGCACGAAUGGCGUAACGACUUCCCUGCUGUCUCAACCACAGACCCGGCGAAAUUGCAGUACGAGUAAAGAUGCUCGUUACGCGCGGCAGGACGAAAAGACCCCGGGACCUUCACUAUAGCUUGGUAUUGGUGUUCGGUUCGGUUUGUGUAGGAUAGGUGGGAGACUGUGAUGCCUCAACGCCAGUUGGGGUGGAGUCGUUGUUGAAAUACCACUCUGAUCGUAUUGGACAUCUCAACCUCGGCCCGUGAUCCGGGUUAGGGACAGUGCCUGGUGGGUAGUUUAACUGGGGCGGUUGCCUCCCAAAGAGUAACGGAGGCGCCCAAAGGUUCCCUCAGCCUGGUUGGCAAUCAGGUGUUGAGUGUAAGUGCACAAGGGAGCUUGACUGUGAGACUGACAGGUCGAGCAGGUAGGAAACUAGGGACUAGUGAUCCGGCACCGGCUUGUGGAAGCGGUGUCGCUCAACGGAUAAAAGGUACCCCGGGGAUAACAGGCUGAUCUUCCCCAAGAGUCCAUAUCGACGGGAUGGUUUGGCACCUCGAUGUCGGCUCGUCGCAUCCUGGGGCUGGAGUAGGUCCCAAGGGUUGGGCUGUUCGCCCAUUAAAGCGGCACGCGAGCUGGGUUUAGAACGUCGUGAGACAGUUCGGUCUCUAUCCGCCGCGCGCGUAGAAACUUGAGGAAGGCUGUCCCUAGUACGAGAGGACCGGGAUGGACGUACCUCUGGUGUGCCAGUUGUCCCGCCUGGGGCAUGGCUGGUUGGCUACGUACGGAAGGGAUAACCGCUGAAAGCAUCUAAGCGGGAAGCCUGUUCCAAGAUUAGGUUUCUUUUGAGGUCCCCUAUAGAUGAUGGGGUUGAUAGGCCGGAUCUGGAAGCAUCGUAAGGUGUGGAGGUGACCGGUACUAAUAGACCAAACAUUCAACACACAAGAGAGU